GCCACCGCAAAAUGAUAGCAUUCCAAAAUUUAUUGGCAUAAGUGGGACAAGAAGUCACAGGAAGCAUUAUUCAGCGAGACUUGGGUCGGUACAGCUUGAAACUUCCAACGUGCCUAUAAUUUAACAACAGUAUCUUUUGCUUCUCUUAAAUCUAUCUGCUUCUGCUUCUGCCUCUGCCUCUUCUGAUUAUCCUUUUUUUUCUCGUUUUUGUUUUUGUUCCUUUUCUUGUUGCCAACCCAUUUCCACUCUGUAAAAGUAUAGCAGAAAUCUAUCGGUAUGGUUGAAUGAUCUUAUGUUGAUACCCACAAAAAAAACAAAAAAAAAAACAAUAUGAUCUUAUGUUGAUACCCACAAAAAAAACUUGAAUGAUCUUAUGUUGAUACCCACAAAAAAAACAAAAAAAAAAACAAUAAUUAUGUUUUCUGGAAGCAUUUUUAAUGUUUCAUGAUUGAUCCCAGUAUGGAGAUACGAGCUUUGCAAAAUAAUAGCCAUGUGAGUUUCAGGUGUGCAGGGAAUGGGAAGCCAAAACCUUUUCAACAAUCAUUCUUUCUUCUGUUUUGAUCUUUUCUCAGUCUUUUUCCCAUUAUAAAGCUCUUUCUUUUACAUUAUCUUCUCG
Molecule: long non-coding RNA, 616 nt
Filed under: Citrus sinensis (sweet orange)
Lineage: Eukaryota; Viridiplantae; Streptophyta; Magnoliopsida; Sapindales; Rutaceae
Description: long non-coding RNA (CSIN_LNC003658)
Source: RNAcentral